Molecule: ribosomal RNA, 425 nt
Filed under: uncultured bacterium
Lineage: Bacteria
Description: partial 16S ribosomal RNA
Rfam family: Bacterial small subunit ribosomal RNA
Source: RNAcentral
UGGGGAAUUUUGGACAAUGGGCGAAAGCCUGAUCCAGCAAUGCCGCGUGUGUGAAGAAGGCCUUCGGGUUGUAAAGCACUUUUGUCCGGAAAGAAAUCCUUGGCUCUAAUACAGUCGGGGGAUGACGGUACCGGAAGAAUAAGCACCGGCUAACUACGUGCCAGCAGCCGCGGUAAUACGUAGGGUGCAAGCGUUAAUCGGAAUUACUGGGCGUAAAGCGUGCGCAGGCGGUUUGCUAAGACCGAUGUGAAAUCCCCGGGCUAACCUGGGAACUGCAUUGGUGACUGGCAGGCUAGAAGUAUGGCAGAGGGGGGUAGAAUUCCACGUGUAGCAGUGAAAUGCGUAGAGAUGUGGAGGAAUACCGAUGGCGAAGGCAGCCACCUGGGCCAAUCUGACGCUCAUGCACGAAAGCGUGGGGAGCAAAC